RNAcentral lists this ribosomal RNA (731 nucleotides) under Pseudomonas aeruginosa. Its description in RNAcentral is "bacterial SSU rRNA". It matches the Rfam family "Bacterial small subunit ribosomal RNA", at positions 82 to 809 of the family's 1533-position model. Lineage: Bacteria; Pseudomonadati; Pseudomonadota; Gammaproteobacteria; Pseudomonadales; Pseudomonadaceae. The record is from RNAcentral.
GCUCCUGGAUUCAGCGGCGGACGGGUGAGUAAUGCCUAGGAAUCUGCCUGGUAGUGGGGGAUAACGUCCGGAAACGGGCGCUAAUACCGCAUACGUCCUGAGGGAGAAAGUGGGGGAUCUUCGGACCUCACGCUAUCAGAUGAGCCUAGGUCGGAUUAGCUAGUUGGUGGGGUAAAGGCCUACCAAGGCGACGAUCCGUAACUGGUCUGAGAGGAUGAUCAGUCACACUGGAACUGAGACACGGUCCAGACUCCUACGGGAGGCAGCAGUGGGGAAUAUUGGACAAUGGGCGAAAGCCUGAUCCAGCCAUGCCGCGUGUGUGAAGAAGGUCUUCGGAUUGUAAAGCACUUUAAGUUGGGAGGAAGGGCAGUAAGUUAAUACCUUGCUGUUUUGACGUUACCAACAGAAUAAGCACCGGCUAACUUCGUGCCAGCAGCCGCGGUAAUACGAAGGGUGCAAGCGUUAAUCGGAAUUACUGGGCGUAAAGCGCGCGUAGGUGGUUCAGCAAGUUGGAUGUGAAAUCCCCGGGCUCAACCUGGGAACUGCAUCCAAAACUACUGAGCUAGAGUACGGUAGAGGGUGGUGGAAUUUCCUGUGUAGCGGUGAAAUGCGUAGAUAUAGGAAGGAACACCAGUGGCGAAGGCGACCACCUGGACUGAUACUGACACUGAGGUGCGAAAGCGUGGGGAGCAAACAGGAUUAGAUACCCGGGUAGUCCACGCCGUAAACGA